GCGGGUGUCGUAUAGUGGUUAUUACAUCGGCUUGCCAAGUCGAGUACGGCGGUUCAACUCCGCUCACCCGCUCAA
RNAcentral lists this transfer RNA (75 nucleotides) under bacterium (Candidatus Gribaldobacteria) CG08_land_8_20_14_0_20_39_15. RNAcentral describes it as "tRNA-Gly". It matches the Rfam family "tRNA". From Rfam's summary of the family: Transfer RNA (tRNA) molecules are approximately 80 nucleotides in length. Their secondary structure includes four short double-helical elements and three loops (D, anti-codon, and T loops). Lineage: Bacteria; Candidatus Gribaldobacteria. The record is from RNAcentral.